UAGUGCCCAGGGGCACCACAUUGUCUUAAUACGGGCCUGAUGGGGGGCAAUGUUUUGUACCCUCUUUGACAACUGAUGAUUUAAAAUGUUUUUUUUAUUUCCUAUUAACGGUGAGGUACAAUUUUGUGACUCAGAUUAGUGAUACCUAUCAACAGAAGAUCAAUUGUAGUUAUUUUUUGUUUCACCAUGGGUCCUACUGUGUCCCAUAUUUAGAAUUGCCGCAAAUGAGGACAAAAGAAAACAAAUGGUGUAAUACAAACUUUUCAGAUCUUAGUUUGCAAUUAAAUCACAUUGUAUCUGACUUUUCAGCCUCACCAAAUGAAAACGAGAAUUCCCAGGUGCAAACUUUUGUGUAAAUGAAAAAUGUGUUCUGAAAGGAAGGUUUAUCUUUAAAGCAAGGCAAACAGAUACAAGAUCAGUGAUCAGAAUGGCAAAAUAAAAGAUUAUUAUUAUCAAAAAGGUUAGAUCCAACUAUCUUUUAAAUUCAUGUGUUGGGCCCGGCUGUAACUGAUGCUUGUAUACAUUUUUAUGCUGAUGACUCCGUGGUUUACUGCCAUGCUGUGCUUAUGUGCCUACAGUCACCAUUUGACUCUUUUCAACCUGCCUUACUUCAUCUGAGACUAGUCCUAAAUGCUUCUAAUACAAAGUACCAUUGCUUUCAAUAAAGUCAUAUAUUGAACAUAUUGUAAAGCAGUUAAAGAUCAAACCAAGGUUUUUCUUCAUAAAUAGAUCUUGCUUUUCUUUCAGUGCAAGGAACCAUCUUGUCUCAUUGAUCUCCCUGCUUCUGUUAAAUUACUGUGAUGUGUUAUGUUUAUAUGAAUGCAUCUGCCAACUCUCUGCCUGUAUUGGAUGCAGUUUGUCAUGGAGCAUAUAUUCUCAGGUCAACUGGCUUGCAUUAUCAAUCUGUAGACUUUAGUGUUAAUAUUUUUAUCUAUAAAGUUAUUUUUGGAUUGUUCCUGCCAUGCUCAACCUCUUACCGGCCACUUAGACAGUCCAGCUACAGACUUCAUUCUCAGGGCUUUUUUCUCCUUCACCGCUCUGUUAAUAUAAUAAAAUAAAAAUGCAUUUUCUUACACUGCCCUGUAAAUUUGGACCACUCUACAGCAGGAUCUGAAGCUAUCCCCAUUGAUUCCAGUGGGACAAAGAAAAAUAAGAAAAUCUUAGGAAAUUUGCUCCUGUUUUUGGACAUUUUUUAUCAACCUAAUUUACUUGAGUUGAAUGUUUUCGAGUACAUUUUUUGUACUAUGUUUUUAGUUUAAAAAAAAUCAAAACAAGCCUUUCUUGUAAAUGAGAUCUUGGAUGUCAAUGAGACAAACUUUAUAAAUUAAGGACAUUUUAAAAGAAAAGCUCAUAAAAUACUUACAAGGAAUUGUUUAAAAGCAUGGUAAUUUUAGUCUGUGUAAACUUAUGAAUCUGAAGAAGGUAAUCAACUGAUUUUUUUAAAAGUGUAUUAUUCUUAUAUUAAGCAAAUAGAUUUAGAAAUUGUCAUUUAAAUGAAUUACAUUUCUUAUUUUACCUAAUUGACAUUUCUUUUGUAUUUUGGCCACCCUACCUGAUGUAAAAUAUGAAGAUAGUGAUGAAAUAUUUCUCCUUGUACAGUGUAUUUCAGCUAGACAGCAUCAUCGUGUUUAUCAGUUUUAACUUGCACACAGUUUUGGUUAUCUAGUCAUAAAAAACAUCAUCUGAUUUUCACGUCUGCCUAAAAACAAUUUGAUACGCUCAUACUUUUUGUAAUAUUAAAUUUAUUAAAAAGUCUUAUUGAAAA
This is a long non-coding RNA of Fundulus heteroclitus (mummichog), 1765 nucleotides long. RefSeq lists it as uncharacterized. The transcript is spliced from 2 exons. Lineage: Eukaryota; Metazoa; Chordata; Actinopteri; Cyprinodontiformes; Fundulidae. The record is from RefSeq and is a predicted model, not a curated record.